This 53-nucleotide small RNA is filed under the name Arabidopsis thaliana (thale cress). RNAcentral describes it as "ATSL165840". The record is from RNAcentral. Lineage: Eukaryota; Viridiplantae; Streptophyta; Magnoliopsida; Brassicales; Brassicaceae.
UUCAUCGUUAUCGCUUAAUCGUUCUCAUUGCUUGUUUCUUAGUUUUUGCAUUU